This 305-nucleotide ribosomal RNA is filed under the name uncultured bacterium. Its description in RNAcentral is "bacterial SSU rRNA". It matches the Rfam family "Bacterial small subunit ribosomal RNA", at positions 21 to 357 of the family's 1533-position model. The record is from RNAcentral.
GGCUCAGAACGAACGCUGGCGGCGUGCUUAACACAUGCAAGUCGAACGAACCUUCGGGUUAGUGGCGGACGGGUGAGUAACGCGUGAGAAUCUGCCCUCAGGAGGGGGAUAACGGUUGGAAACGACCGCUAAUACCCCAUAUGCCGAGAGGUGAAAAGAAAUUCGCCUGAGGAUGAGCUCGCGUCUGAUUAGCUAGUUGGUGUGGUAAUGGCGCACCAAGGCUUCGAUCAGUAGCUGGUCUGAGAGGAUGAUCAGCCACACUGGGACUGAGACACGGCCCAGACUCCUACGGGAGGCAGCAGUGG